Molecule: ribosomal RNA, 95 nt
Filed under: Shewanella sp. SR43-4
Lineage: Bacteria; Pseudomonadati; Pseudomonadota; Gammaproteobacteria; Alteromonadales; Shewanellaceae
Description: partial 16S ribosomal RNA
Rfam family: Bacterial small subunit ribosomal RNA
Source: RNAcentral
UCGGGAGAACGCUCACCACUUUGUGGUUCAUGACUGGGGUGAAGUCGUAACAAGGUAGCCCUAGGGGAACCUGGGGCUGGAUCACCUCCUUACCU